CCUGGCGAGAAUGAACCAGCUUUUUAUGUCCUCCUUUGGCCUUCACCCUGAACAAGGCGUAAUUAUUGCUCAUACGCAGACAGUAUCAAUUCUCCGUAUGGCUAGCCUCCGUCAAAUGAAAAUUAACGAAAGGAAAGGCGAAGAAAGAAAUUUAAUGUGUUGUUGAUGGCCUAGUUGAGCAGCAAAGCAGAAAAUGUCCUUGUAAACAACCCUGUUGCUUCAUUGCUUGUCUUCGCUGCACUUAGCCAAUCUUGACGGGACGACUGGUGGAAAGGAAGUUUCUUUGCACUCGAGUGUGCAGAUUGUCUCAGCCAUUUUCUCCAUUGGAGUUGCCGUAAUUGUUUUGUACCAGCCAUCAACUUGGUGAACAUCCGAGAAGAACCUCUACAGCAUCAUUCCUCGGGAUAUCUGGCUUCGGGGACACUUUGCUAUUGAAAGGUAACCUAGUGUGAUGACACUUCUGUCACACUAAAGAAGACGAGUCCAGAUACAGCUUGAUCCCUUCUUGUUCACCUAUCUACCACGUUGAUGUAUACUGUCAACCUACAUGAUAUGAAAUGGAGGCGAAAUGUGUUUUCUUCAUUCUUCUGGCAUGCGUCACUCUUACUUGCUGUGCAUCGACAUCACUGCGUACAUCACGUGACUUGAAUGAUGUGGCUGCAGCAGUGGACAUUGUUCACGCCCUUGAUCAGCUUCUCGACAACAUCGAAGUCGACAGCCGCCACCGUCGAGGCCGUCAUCGUCGCUGUCGUCCUUAUCGUCAUCGCCGCAUGGUGCAGCUGCAGCUCGGCCCUGUCACACACCGCUGUCAGCAUCGUCACAUGCACGUCACAGCCGACGGUCGCACCGUCAACCUGAGGUCAGCAAGAUGAAACGAUGAAAGGAUCGUUUGUCACCGGUGUCGCUUAAACUGUUGAAAUUUGCUUCGGUUUUUUUCCCUUGUCAAGAAAUUAUUUGCAAAUAAACGAUAAAAGGUC
Molecule: long non-coding RNA, 977 nt
Organism: Pomacea canaliculata
Lineage: Eukaryota; Metazoa; Mollusca; Gastropoda; Architaenioglossa; Ampullariidae
Exons: 3
Source: RefSeq, a predicted model, not a curated record